Rana temporaria (common frog) is the source of this 5278-nucleotide long non-coding RNA. RefSeq lists it as uncharacterized. The record is from RefSeq and is a predicted model, not a curated record. The transcript is spliced from 2 exons. NCBI's taxonomy places the organism in Eukaryota, Metazoa, Chordata, Amphibia, Anura, Ranidae.
GUAAUAGGUAAGUGACAGGUACUCUUUAUGGAGAGGUCUGAGGUCUAUAAGACCCCAAAUCUCUCCUCUGCGCUUAAAAGCAUUCAAUCACGCCAAGAUCUGUGUUUUUAAAGGCUUUUGAUUUUUUGAAAAUGGCGCAGUUGACAACCAAGUAAAUCGGAAGUGAUGUCAGGUCAUCGCUUCCGGGCUUACCAUAGCCAAGAUCCAAUCAAAGCUGAUCCAGGCUUUGUUCAGCUCUCCCCAUCAGCCGGCGGAUGUGCCGGCUGGUCGCUUGGGUCUCCUGGUGGGACGGGAGAGCGGAAGAAAGCAACGGAAAGUGUAGGAGAAGGGGGGACAACACCUCCUGUUGCUUGUAAAAGCAAUCCAGUGGCUACUUAGCCGCUAGGAUUGCUUUUUUCAAGAGAGUCGACCGUCGACUAAAAAAACAGUACUGGGGUGAUGCCUGCAGCUGCAUAUAAUUCCAGUGUAACCCCCGAACUCCACCGACGUACCUCGGCAAGUGGAUAAUAUUCAUAUUUGGACAUGCCACCGUUGUCCUCUCCAAAUGACUUUGUUGACUCAUUUGAGGAGGACAAGAGACACCUGACAAACGUGAGGAGAAGAUGCGAGUAGGACAAAGGAGGUAUGUCCUAAAAUGCCCACUUUGUUUGAGUUUGGCGUCUGUGUAGAGCAGGAUUUACGGUGUGUUCGGCUCCUCUCAGCUCCUCUAGGCUCCUCUCGCGUGGCUGCGGGCGGAGCCGAGCGUGGCCGAGUGCGCAGUACACUCGGCACGGUCUUUGUCGGUGGCGCUCAGAGACAGUGGGGAUCGGCGUAUAAUGCGCACCCACGAUUUCCCCCUGAUUUUAAGGGGAAAAAAGUGCGCGUUAUACGCCGAUAAAUAUGGUAAUUGUCUUGUUAUAUUCUUGGCGCAGCAAUUCCUUUCUACUUUGUUAGUUCGGUGAUAGGAACAAAGUAUAGGAUUUUGGGCAUGAGUAGAUGUUGGUGGAAUGCAUUACUCACUGGCCCCUUGAACCACUUGGGUAGGGUAAUAAGAAAAAAAAAAGAGUCAAUGAGGUCCUGCUGGAUGUAGAACCUCAGAAUCAAAUCUCCCUUCCAGAGAUCCUGAGGGAUCUAAGGAGUCGGGUUCCACUUUGUAACGUCUUCUAAAACCGAAAGAACUGAUUUUUUUUAGCUUGGUCUGUCUUUUAACGUUGUUUUGACAUGCCGGGAGGGGAUUUUAGCAGCUGUUUGGACGGCCAGUGAAUGUCCAGUACCACCCCGGGCCUCAAAAGAGGAAAAUAUUUGUCAGUAAAUCCGCAGUGGGGAGGAGGAGGAGAGCUGAGCUAGUGUAGGGUCACGGAAUGUUCAGAAGAGGAUAUGGAAAAUGGAUUGUGUGGGAUUGCGGUUGGCCGGUCUGGGCUGGCCUACAUUUAACCCUUUGAUGGUGUGGUGUAUGGCAAGCUCGUAGUCGCGUGGAGCGUUAGACCGGAUGUUUUUUUGGAUAAGUAGGUUUGUCUAUUUGUACGUGAGAUGUAGAAGAAAAUUAGAAGGAUCUUUGUUUUGGUGGAAUAUAUGGAAAGGGAUUUUCUGUUGUUGGAUUUAUUUCCUGUAUAUCUACAAACUUGAAAAAAAAUAAGGUAAAUUGAUAGUCUAUUACUUGUGUGCGCACCUUAUCAUCUGAUGUAACCUACAGUUUACAGGUCAGAAUGGUUUUGAUGUUUUUGGUACAGGGUGAUGCAGGACAAUAUUGAGGGUAACUGGUUCUGUGCCAUAGAGUUAAAUAUUGAUUGAGGCCCAGGGGGUAAAUUAAAUCAGACCUACAGUCAAUGCCGAAGCCUAUGUAGUUUGACCACACCUUCUGCCUUGUCACUGUAUGCAGUAAAAGUUGUUAUGGGCUCACCUGUACUGAAGAAAUUAUUCCUCUAAGAUUUCUUUUGGGGGUAUGUGGGUACCAAGACAUUAGCCAUGUGGUUUCUACCAAAGGGCUUGGUGUGUGGCCUUCAGGCAAAGCCAGCCAAACCAAGUGGUUUCCACCAAAAAGGCCUAUUGUGUGGCCUUCAGGCUAAGCCAACCAAGCCAUGGGUUUCCACCAAAAAGGCUUAUUGUGUGGCCUUCAGGCUAAGCCAAGCCAUGAGUUUCCACCAAAAGGGCAUAUUGUGUGGCCUUCAGGCUAAGCCAAGCCAUGAGUUUCCACCAAAAGGGCAUAUUGUGUUGCCUUCAGGCAAAGCUAGCCAAGCCAUGUAGUUUUCACCAAAAGGGCUUAUUAUGUGGCCUUCAGGUAAAGCCUGACAAGUCAUAUGGGUUUCAACAAAAGGGCUUAUUGUGUAGCCUUCAGGCAAAGGCAGCGGAGCCAUGUGGUUUCCACCACAAGGGCAUAUUGUGUUGCCUUCAGGCAAAGCUAGCCAAGCCAUGUGGUUUCCACCAAAAUGGCUUGGUGUGUGGCCUUCAGGCAAAGCCAGCCAAACCAUGUGGUUUCCACCAAAAGGGCUUAUUGUGUGUCCUUCAGGCAAAGCCUGACAAGUCAUAUGAUUUUCACCAAAGAGCUUAGAGUGUGGGCUUCAGGCAAAGCAAGCCAUACCAUGUGGUUUCCAUCAAAAGGGCUUGGUGUGUGGCCUUCAGGCAAAGCCAGCCAAGCCAAGUGGUUUCCACCAAAAUGGCUUAUUGUGUGGCCUUCAGGUAAAGCCUGACAAGUCAUAUGGUUUUCACCAAAAGGGCUUAUUGUGUAGCCUUCAGGCAAAGCCAGCCAAGCCAUGUGGUUUCCACCACAAGGGCUUAUUGAGUGCCCUUCAGGCAAAGUCUGACAAGUCAUAUGGUUUUCACCAAAAGGGCUUAGAGUGUGGCCUUCAGACAAAGCAAGUCAAGCCAUGUGAUUUCCACCAAAAUGGCUUGGUGUGUGGCCUUCAUGCAAAUUAAGCCAAGCCAUAUGGUUUCCACUAAAGGGGUUUGUCGUGUGGCCUCCAGGCAAAGACAGCAAAUCAGUGGCAGUCAUGUCACCAGUAGAAUCUGUUGUUCUGUAGGAGUUGUUAUUCCAAGCUCGAGCUUGCUCUGGAAGUAGAUUGGCGCUGGCUGGGGAAUUAACCACAUAGUUCCUGCUAAAAGGGCUUGUCGUGUGGCCUUCAGGCAAAGCCAGCAAAACCAUGUGGUUUCUACUAAAAGGGCUUAUUGUGUGGCCUUCAGGUAAAGUCAGCUAAGCCAUGUGGUUUCCCCCAAAAUGGCUUGGUGUGUGGCCUUCAUGCAAAGCCAGACAAGCCAUAUGGUUUCCACUAAAAUGGCUUGUCGUGUGGCCUUCAGGCAAAGCCAGCCAAACCAUGUGGUUUCCACUAAAAGGGCUUAUUGUGUUGCCUUCAGGCAAAGCUAGCCAAUCACCAGAAGGUUAAGUCACCAGUAGAAUCUGUUCUUCUGUAGAAGUUGCUAAUCCAGGCAAAGCCAGCCAAGCCAUGAGGUUUCCACCAAAAGGGAUUAUUGUGUGGCCUUCAGGUAAAGCCAUCCAAGCCAUGAGGUUGCCACCAAAAGGUCUUUUUGUGUGGCCUUCAGGUAAAGCCAGCCAAGCCAUGAGGUUGCCACCAAAAGGGAUUAUUGUGUGGCCUUCAGGUAAAGCCAGCCAAGCCAUGAGGUUGCCACCAAAAGGGAUUAUUGUGUGGCCUUCAGGUAAAGCCAGCCAAGCCAUGAGGUUGCCACCAAAAGGGUUUUAUUGUGAGGCCUUCAGGCAAAGCUAGCCAAUCAGCAGAGGUUGGGUCACCAGUAGAAUCUGUUUUUCUGUAGAAGUUGCUAAUCCAAGCUCGAGCUUGCUCUGGAAGUAGAUGGGCGCUGGCUGGGGAUGGGGAAUUAGCCACAUAGUUCCUGCUAAAAGGGCUUGAGCCGUGGCUUUUAGGCAAAGCCAUUUGAUCAGUGGUGGUCAUGUGGCCAAUGUCUCCAAUGUCCAGCCCAUAAGUCAUGUCUUUGCUAUAGCUGUUUGAGGUUUGAUGUUCAAACCCAACCAGCAGCCCUGCCUUCCCCUUCUUUGGAAAUCAUCUACAUUACCGAGAACUGCAACAUCAAAAUGGGUAAACAUCUAACACAUGGUUUUACUAUAUCUAUGGCAACAGGACGGCAGGAAGAGGAAGCAAACCAGGCUCACAUAUUUCCCCAUCGUACUUGUGCUAAAAUGCAAUCACUCGAUCGUUCUCAUUUUGUUCCAAGUGCUGAAAAAUAUUACGGAAGAAGAAGGUCUUGUGGCCGAACACUGAGCAAAAAGAGGACCUGUUUUGUGUCUUUGAUUUCGAAAUUUGUUUCCAUGGUCAAAUAUCUCUAACUCUCUCUUUCGCAAUAGGUAUUGCUUUGUUUUUUUUGUUUUUUUGUGGUUUUAAGUAACCCGAAAGAGGAAAAGUCCUUUAAAAAAAAUGUUGCAAUCUGCUUGGCACAAAAAGCAAGCCUAUAAAAUCAGAACUGAUGUUUUGCAAGAACCUAGUGUGGGUGGAUAGACAGAUGGGGGGUGACUCAGUCCAUGCAAUAAUAAAAUAGCAAUAACGCCUAACAAGAACCAGCUACCCAAUCUGUCUUAUUUAUAACACCCAAACCAGCCUUUUCAGAACUAUAACUCCCACCAUGAGCCUUGUAGUUCCAUGUGCUUGGGGUUUGUUGCAUCUGGCGCCAUCUUGUGGCCAAAACUAGGAACUGCACUUACUUACUGCACGCUACCAGUUACAUUUGUCGCCAUCUUGUGGUCAAAAUGUAUAACGACUGCGAUCAGUGGUCUGUUGGUGCCAUCUUGUGGUAAAAAUAAGGUACUGUCAUUUCUUGCUUCCCAACAUUGGCGCGUACUGGACUAUAUAGCAAUAAAAAAAAAAUAUGACUGCACACUUCCAUUGCUCCAUAAGCAUAAGACAUUAUUAUAUUACUACGAUGAUGACGCUAACUGCUGCGGAACAUCACGUGGUUGUACACGGCACUGCUCUGUCCUGAAAAUCCUCAGUUUUCCUACAUAGUUUAAAAAAAUGCUGCUCUUAUAUUAUUAUCAACGAGAUAAAAAAAAUACCUAACCCCGUUAUCUGCAGGUAAUAAUAGAUAUUUCUGUGCGAAUAGAAGAUAUUAUAAGCUAAAUGCCUCUUUUUUUUUUAGAACCUGUUUUUAUUCUCGAUCGUCCAUAUCGCGAUUAUGUGCCUUCACCAUACUGAGCUUCGUUGAAUGUAUUAUUUUUGUUUUUUAAGUACUAACUGCAAAAAAAGAGAUUUUAUUUUUUUCCGUCAGCCAUGAUGUAAUUUUUAUAUUAACUGUACUAACAGUUUGAUUUUUUUUUUUAAUGUAAGCUGUUUUUGUAUGA